This is a transfer RNA of Camelus ferus (Wild Bactrian camel), 72 nucleotides long. It matches the Rfam family "tRNA". Rfam says of the family: Transfer RNA (tRNA) molecules are approximately 80 nucleotides in length. Their secondary structure includes four short double-helical elements and three loops (D, anti-codon, and T loops). The record is from Rfam. NCBI's taxonomy places the organism in Eukaryota, Metazoa, Chordata, Mammalia, Artiodactyla, Camelidae.
GAGGGUACAGCUCAAGUGGUAGAGCACGUGCUUAGCAUGCACGAGGUCCUGGUUCAAUCCCCAGUACCUCCU